This 378-nucleotide unclassified non-coding RNA is filed under the name fungal sp. Its description in RNAcentral is "partial internal transcribed spacer region". The stretch from base 1 to 46 matches the Rfam family "Eukaryotic small subunit ribosomal RNA", at positions 1786 to 1831 of the family's 1831-position model. The record is from RNAcentral. Lineage: Eukaryota; Fungi.
AAGUCGUAACAAGGUUUCCGUAGGUGAACCUGCGGAAGGAUCAUUAACACAUCCUUUUCAUAUACAUACAUUGUCGCACUGGGAACCAUCCGUAAGUAGGGGCCGCGUUAGGCAACGGUUUGAUUCAUGUCAUGAGCAUGACUGGCUUAUCAGGAUCGUGGACGACACUCUCUUUCGAGAGUGUCGAGCUGCAACUCUACUUCUUUUGGCAUAGAGCGUCAUUUCUCGCUCGAACUUUUUUUUUAAACCUUCGAAUUUUAUUUUGAAUUGGCUGGGAUUGAGAAGGACCUUUAUAGGUCUGCCUCUCUUGGCUUUUUGAUGGAGUAAUCCAUUAAAUAAACUAAAACACAACUCUUAACAGCGGAUAUCUCGGUUCUC